Long non-coding RNA from Papio anubis (olive baboon), 1554 nucleotides. NCBI's taxonomy places the organism in Eukaryota, Metazoa, Chordata, Mammalia, Primates, Cercopithecidae. The record is from Ensembl.
AGGAAUGUAGAUGCUUGAGCUGGGGAAGUUAGAGAGGGAAUAACGUUUAUAUAUAAAUAAUGGAUAGUUGAAUAUUAGAAUCAGAUUAAUUGGGGCUGAUGAAAGUGUUUUUUUUUUGUUUGUUUGUUUGUUUUUUUUUUAAAGCAGUUGUGCACUAUGGGAAGGAAGUCUUUUCACAGGUUCACUUGAUAGGGAUUCUUUAAGGUGAGGGGUUGGAAUUAUCUCCUUUUUGAGAGGAUUCUCACCAACAUCUGUAGCUUUAUUGACGGCCUGGUAAGGGUACUGAAACUGGGGCUAAACCAUGUAAGCAUACUUUUCAGUGUUUAUGGUAUUUGUUUACAUCUGGUGUUCACUCUAAGCAAUAGAAAUAAAUAGGUCAGCUUUGCUUUUGGUCUUUGAAGACUGGCCCCCUCCUUCCUUUUUUAAGUUUCACAAUUUACUUGGUUUGCAGCAUUGUUGGAAACUGUUACUACAUUUUUACUGGAAAUACUAUUAUUCAUUUUAAUUUUGCUUUGAAGGGUCCAUCCUUUUUCCUAUUCAGUCGUCUGGAAGGAGCUGCCUCUGUAAUACUCUUCUUCUGCUUACAUGAAGAUCUCUAAAUGCUAUCCAGCAGGAGGUGCUACAGCAAGAUAAAGGAAAUUUGUGAAUUUUGAGGGUCUUGUUACUUAUUACAGCUCUACUUAGCUUCAGCUAAGCAGCAGGAUUAACACCUUAAAGUUCCAGAAAGAUUUUGAGUAAGUCCAUUUAAAAAAUUCCAUUCAUAAAUUAUGUUUGCUACUUGAAACUGAAGUCUUUGACUAUACAAAGUAGAUGUGUGAUUGUGGAUAGCUUAAGGAUUCUGGGCCUAGGUACAGAGCACUGUUUAGAAUUAUUUUAUUUGGAAGAGGAAUUAGUCUUGUGUUGAUGAGUGGGGUGUUGAGCACGUAUUUUAAAAAAGUAUUUGUAAUUGUUAUAAACAAAAGUAGUUGGUAUGAUUUAGGGCUUUAAGUCUUGUUAUCCCUAUAAUAAUACAAAUAGGAUAUAGAGUAGUUGAGAUUUUGGAAAGGGGGAUAGUGUGUGGAAAAAAAUUUAGACUUCUUGUAGUUUUUUUCCCCUCGGAUUUACGGACUAUGAUUCUAAUAUAGAUCAAUUUUUAGGCACUCAGCUUUAUAAAUACAUAUGGUUGAUGUACUUAAGUUAGCCUGCAAAGACUGAGAUUCUUGAACUGUAAAUCAAGUUCUAUCAGUGGUAGGUCAUUGCUGAUAUAACAAUAACUGCAUAAAGAUGAAUAUAGCUACUUUAACAGUUUCAUAGCAUUUAUAGCGCAUGGUCCUUUGAAACUCUGUUAGUGUUAGGUGAAUUGAUUAUUACUGGAAAUAUCAUGCCACUGUGGUUGCUUGUAAAGUUUUGUGUCAAAAUUUUAAAAAUUUGGGGAUGCUAGAAACUUGAUAAAUCUGCUUUGAAUUUUGUCUAUUUUGUAGACAAAAUACUGUUUUCUCAGUAAGACCAAAUGAGAUAAUACAUAUAAAAGUUCUUCGCAAGUGGUAAGAAAGCAUGCGAAUAUUAAGUUGUUGA